RNAcentral lists this ribosomal RNA (1522 nucleotides) under uncultured prokaryote. RNAcentral describes it as "partial 16S ribosomal RNA". It matches the Rfam family "Bacterial small subunit ribosomal RNA". The record is from RNAcentral.
CGCCCUUAGAGUUUGAUCAUGGCUCAGAUUGAACGCUGGCGGCAGGCCUAACACAUGCAAGUCGAGCGGUAACAGGAAGGAAGCUUGCUUUCUUUGCUGACGAGCGGCGGACGGGUGAGUAAUGCCUGGGAAUAUGCCUUAGUGUGGGGGAUAACUAUUGGAAACGAUAGCUAAUACCGCAUAACGUCUUCGGACCAAAGAGGGGGACCUUCGGGCCUCUCGCGCUAAGAUUAGCCCAGGUGGGAUUAGCUAGUUGGUGAGGUAAAGGCUCACCAAGGCAACGAUCCCUAGCUGGUCUGAGAGGAUGAUCAGCCACACUGGAACUGAGACACGGUCCAGACUCCUACGGGAGGCAGCAGUGGGGAAUAUUGCACAAUGGGGGAAACCCUGAUGCAGCCAUGCCGCGUGUAUGAAGAAGGCCUUCGGGUUGUAAAGUACUUUCAGUCGUGAGGAAGACAUUGUAGUUAAUAGAGUAGUAUCUUGACGUUACCUACAGAAGAAGGACCGGCUAACUCCGUGCCAGCAGCCGCGGUAAUACGGAGGGUCCAAGCGUUAAUCGGAAUUACUGGGCGUAAAGCGCAUGUAGGUGGUUGAUUAAGUCAGAUGUGAAAGCCCGGAGCUUAACUCCGGAAUUGCAUUAGAAACUGGUUAACUAGAGUACUGUAGAGGAAGGUAGAAUUUCAGGUGUAGCGGUGAAAUGCGUAGAGAUCUGAAGGAAUACCAGUGGCGAAGGCGGCCUUCUGGACAGAUACUGACACUCAGAUGCGAAAGCGUGGGUAGCAAACAGGAUUAGAUACCCUGGUAGUCCACGCUGUAAACGAUGUCUACUUGGAGGUUGUGGCCUUGAGCCGUGGCUUUCGGAGCUAACGCGUUAAGUAGACCGCCUGGGGAGUACGGUCGCAAGAUUAAAACUCAAAUGAAUUGACGGGGGCCCGCACAAGCGGUGGAGCAUGUGGUUUAAUUCGAUGCAACGCGAAGAACCUUACCUACUCUUGACAUCCAGAGAAUUCGCUAGAGAUAGCUUAGUGCCUUCGGGAACUCUGAGACAGGUGCUGCAUGGCUGUCGUCAGCUCGUGUUGUGAAAUGUUGGGUUAAGUCCCGCAACGAGCGCAACCCCUAUCCUUGAUUGCCAGCGAGUAAUGUCGGGACUUCAGGGAGACUGCCGGUGAUAAACCGGAGGAAGGUGGGGACGACGUCAAGUCAUCAUGGCCCUUACGAGUAGGGCUACACACGUGCUACAAUGGCGCAUACAGAGGGCAGCCAACCAGCGAUGGUGAGCGAAUCCCAAAAAGUGCGUCGUAGUCCGGAUUGGAGUCUGCAACUCGACUCCAUGAAGUCGGAAUCGCUAGUAAUCGUAGAUCAGAAUGCUACGGUGAAUACGUUCCCGGGCCUUGUACACACCGCCCGUCACACCAUGGGAGUGGGUUGCAAAAGAAGUAAGUAGCUUAACCUUCGGGAGGGCGCUUACCACUUUGUGAUUCAUGACUGGGGUGAAGUCGUAACAAGGUAACCGUAAAGGGCG